Molecule: ribosomal RNA, 396 nt
Filed under: uncultured bacterium
Lineage: Bacteria
Description: partial 16S ribosomal RNA
Rfam family: Bacterial small subunit ribosomal RNA
Source: RNAcentral
AUACGUAGGGGGCGAGCGUUGUCCGGAAUGAUUGGGCGUAAAGGGCGCGUAGGCGGCGCGGUAAGUCUGGAGUGAAAGUCCUGCUUUCAAGGUGGGAAUUGCUUUGGAUACUGCCGCGCUUGAGUGCAGGAGAGGUUAUCGGAAUUCCCGGUGUAGCGGUGAAAUGCGUAGAGAUCGGGAGGAACACCAGUGGCGAAGGCGGGUAACUGGCCUGCAACUGACGCUGAGGCGCGAAAGUGUGAGGAGCAAACGGGAUUAGAUACCCUGGUAGUCCACGCCGUAAACGAUGGAUACUAGGUGUGGGGGGACUGACCCCUUCCGUGCCGGAGUUAACACAAUAAGUAUCCCACCUGGGGAGUACGGUCGCAAGAUUAAAACUCAAAUGAAUUGACGGGG